UUGUCGUCAGCUCGUGCCGUGAGGUGUCGGGUUAAGUCCCAUAACGAGCGCAACCCUUAUCGUUAGUUGCCAGCGGGUAAUGCCGGGGACUCUAGCGAAACUGCCGGUGUAAACCGAGAGGAAGGUGGGGAUGACGUCAAAUCAGCACGGCCCUUAUGUCCAGGGCUACACACGUGUUACAAUGGCCGGUACAGAGGGCAGCUACCUGGAGACAGGAUGCGAAUCUCGAAAGCCGGUCUCAGUUCGGAUCGGAGUCUGCAACUCGACUCCGUGAAGCUGGAUUCGCUAGUAAUCGCGCAUCAGCCAUGGCGCGGUGAAUACGUUCCCGGGCCUU
This 334-nucleotide ribosomal RNA is filed under the name uncultured Sphingobacteriales bacterium. RNAcentral describes it as "bacterial SSU rRNA". It matches the Rfam family "Bacterial small subunit ribosomal RNA", at positions 1049 to 1382 of the family's 1533-position model. Lineage: Bacteria; Pseudomonadati; Bacteroidota; Sphingobacteriia; Sphingobacteriales. The record is from RNAcentral.